CAGUCGCCGCGGGAAUACGUAGGUGGCAAGCGUUGUCCGGAAUUAUUGGGCGUAAAGGGCUCGCAGGCGGUUUCUUAAGUCUGAUGUGAAAGCCCCCGGCUCAACCGGGGAGGGUCAUUGGAAACUGGGAAACUUGAGUGCAGAAGAGGAGAGCGGAAUUCCACGUGUAGCGGUGAAAUGCGUAGAGAUGUGGAGGAACACCAGUGGCGAAGGCGACUCUCUGGUCUGUAACUGACGCUGAGGAGCGAAAGCGUGGGGAGCGAACAGGAUUAGAUACCCGUGUAGUCCCUGUCUCUUAUAC
RNAcentral lists this ribosomal RNA (301 nucleotides) under uncultured bacterium. RNAcentral describes it as "partial 16S ribosomal RNA". It matches the Rfam family "Bacterial small subunit ribosomal RNA", at positions 509 to 807 of the family's 1533-position model. The record is from RNAcentral.